RNAcentral lists this transfer RNA (72 nucleotides) under Sus scrofa (pig). It matches the Rfam family "tRNA". From Rfam's summary of the family: Transfer RNA (tRNA) molecules are approximately 80 nucleotides in length. Their secondary structure includes four short double-helical elements and three loops (D, anti-codon, and T loops). Further hydrogen bonds mediate the characteristic L-shaped molecular structure. tRNAs have two regions of fundamental functional importance: the anti-codon, which is responsible for specific mRNA codon recognition, and the 3' end, to which the tRNAs corresponding amino acid is attached (by aminoacyl-tRNA synthetases). tRNAs cope with the degeneracy of the genetic code in two manners: having more than one tRNA (with a specific anti-codon) for a particular amino acid; and 'wobble' base-pairing, i.e. permitting non-standard base-pairing at the 3rd anti-codon position. Lineage: Eukaryota; Metazoa; Chordata; Mammalia; Artiodactyla; Suidae. The record is from Rfam by way of RNAcentral.
UCCCGGGUGGUCUAGUGGUUAGGUUUCAGUGCUUUCAACCCUGUGGCCCAGGAUUGAUCCCUGGUCUGGGAA